Molecule: ribosomal RNA, 253 nt
Filed under: uncultured bacterium
Lineage: Bacteria
Description: partial 16S ribosomal RNA
Rfam family: Bacterial small subunit ribosomal RNA
Source: RNAcentral
UACGUAGGGUGCAAGCGUUAAUCGGAAUUACUGGGCGUAAAGCGUGCGCAGGCGGUUUUGUAAGUCAGAUGUGAAAUCCCCGGGCUUAACCUGGGAACUGCGUUUGAAACUACAAGGCUAGAGUGUGACAGAGGGGGGUGGAAUUCCACGUGUAGCAGUGAAAUGCGUAGAGAUGUGGAGGAACACCGAUGGCGAAGGCAGUCCCCUGGGUUAACACUGACGCUCAGGCACGAAAGCGUGGGGAGCAAACAGG